GACGAACGCUGGCGGCGUGCUUAACACAUGCAAGUCGAACGGAAAGGCCCUGCUUUUGUGGGGUGCUCGAGUGGCGAACGGGUGAGUAACACGUGAGUAACCUGCCCUUGACUUUGGGAUAACUUCAGGAAACUGGGGCUAAUACCGGAUAGGAGCUCCUGCUGCAUGGUGGGGGUUGGAAAGUUUCGGCGGUUGGGGAUGGACUCGCGGCUUAUCAGCUUGUUGGUGGGGUAGUGGCUUACCAAGGCUUUGACGGGUAGCCGGCCUGAGAGGGUGACCGGCCACAUUGGGACUGAGAUACGGCCCAGACUCCUACGGGAGGCAGCAGUGGGGAAUAUUGCACAAUGGGCGGAAGCCUGAUGCAGCAACGCCGCGUGCGGGAUGACGGCCUUCGGGUUGUAAACCGCUUUCGCCUGUGACGAAGCGUGAGUGACGGUAAUGGGUAAAGAAGCACCGGCUAACUACGUGCCAGCAGCCGCGGUGAUACGUAGGGUGCGAGCGUUGUCCGGAUUUAUUGGGCGUAAAGGGCUCGUAGGUGGUUGAUCGCGUCGGAAGUGUAAUCUUGGGGCUUAACCCUGAGCGUGCUUUCGAUACGGGUUGACUUGAGGAAGGGUAGGGGAGAAUGGAAUUCCUGGUGGAGCGGUGGAAUGCGCAGAUAUCAUGAGGAACACCAGUGGCGAAGGCGGUUCUCUGGGCCUUUCCUGACGCUGAGGAGCGAAAGCGUGGGGAGCGAACAGGCUUAGAUACCCUGGUAGUCCACGCUGUAAACGGUGGGUACUAGGUGUGGGGUCCAUUCCACGGGUUCCGUGCCGUAGCUAACGCUUUAAGUACCCCGCCUGGGGAGUACGGCCGCAAGGCUAAAACUCAAAGGAAUUGACGGGGCCCCGCACAAGCGGCGGAGCAUGCGGAUUAAUUCGAUGCAACGCGUAGAACCUUACCUGGGUUUGACAUGGAUCGGGAGUGCUCAGAGAUGGGUGUGCCUCUUUUGGGGUCGGUUCACAGGUGGUGCAUGGCUGUCGUCAGCUCGUGUCGUGAGAUGUUGGGUUAAGUCCCGCAACGAGCGCAACCCUUGUUCACUGUUGCCAGCACGUUAUGGUGGGGACUCAGUGGAGACCGCCGGGGUCAACUCGGAGGAAGGUGGGGAUGACGUCAAGUCAUCAUGCCCCUUAUGUCCAGGGCUUCACGCAUGCUACAAUGGCUGGUACAGAGAGUGGCGAGCCUGUGAGGGUGAGCGAAUCUCGGAAAGCCGGUCUCAGUUCGGAUUGGGGUCUGCAACUCGACCUCAUGAAGUCGGAGUCGCUAGUAAUCGCAGAUCAGCAACGCUGCGGUGAAUACGUUCCCGGGGCU
This 1347-nucleotide ribosomal RNA is filed under the name uncultured bacterium. RNAcentral describes it as "partial 16S ribosomal RNA". It matches the Rfam family "Bacterial small subunit ribosomal RNA", at positions 28 to 1381 of the family's 1533-position model. The record is from RNAcentral.